Molecule: long non-coding RNA, 895 nt
Organism: Nicotiana attenuata
Lineage: Eukaryota; Viridiplantae; Streptophyta; Magnoliopsida; Solanales; Solanaceae
Exons: 2
Source: RefSeq, a predicted model, not a curated record
CCAUCUUCUCCACCCUUCAAAUCCCUAUGCUCCUGAACGGACAGUGAACAGAGGGAAUAACAUGGAAUAGAGACGGGAUUUUAAGAGAAAAAUUCGACGGCAAUUGGGGUUAUAUUCUUGUGUUAGCGAGGAAUCUGUUUCGGAAGGGAAAGUGUAAAGAUAAAUCUCUGUCUCUUCUUUUCAAUUUCAAUUUCGGUUGCAAUUUGGAGGUUGUUUACGGUGUUCAGGCUCGGGCUUUGAGGUGUCGAUCGAGGUUCAAGUUCCGGAUUCUUUAUCUAGUUUAGCCGUAGCAUUAGUUCCAUUCCAAUACGUCGCUGAAUUUUCCUCGCUUGUAUAUUCAAAGUCGAAUUUAUCAGAUAGUUUCUGUUCAGAUGUUAGCUCUGAGCUCAGGGUAUGUUGGAUUCUGGUCCCCCGAUGUUAUAAAAAGAUUAGCAGGUCAAACAUUAACUUUAUCUGUUUCUGCUCGAUGCAAUAGCUGCUUCCCAAGUUGUGCUCGAUGAGGCAAAGGUAGCGGACUUGAAAUUUCUAUAGUUGGACUUGGAGAAGGCCAUUUUUGGGUGAAAAUGCAUUCAGAUAGCUCAAAUCUAGCAAUGGCUACUAUCGCAGAAGAGAUAUCCAUGAUUUAUUGCUAAUAGAGAUUGGUUAUGAGUUUCUACAAGUUUCUUGUAUUACUAAAUGUAUUGUUAAGAAUUGGAUGAACAAUCCAUUUGAAUUAUGCUAUUUAUGUCGGUACCUGGUUUGGUAUGAUCUGUUGUUUUAGUAAGUGGAUAUUGCUACAAAUAUGAGAUAUGUGGAUAUGUAACAUGUGGUUACGAUCUUGCAGUUAAUAUAUGUUAUGAAAUCGGUUCUUUGGAUGGUAAGAACGAGAAUAUGCAAGAAUCAAAAUUUUGAAGAA